AGGAAUUGGCGGGGGAGCACCACAACGGGUGGAGCCUGCGGUUUAAUCGGACUCAACGCCGGGAAACUCACCGGACAAGACAGCUGAAUGAUAGUCGGGCUGAAGACUCUACUUGACUAGCUGAGAGGAGGUGCAUGGCCGUCGUCAGUUCGUACUGUGAAGCAUCCUGUUAAGUCAGGCAACGAGCGAGACCCACGCCAACAGUUGCUAGCUCGUCCUCCGGGAUGGAGAGGACACUGUUGGGACCGCCUCUGCUAAAGAGGAGGAAGGAAUGGGCAACGGUAGGUCAGCAUGCCCCGAAUUGUCCGGGCUACACGCGGGCUACAAUGGGUGGGACAAUGGGUAUCGACACCGAAAGGUGAAGGCAAUCUCCUAAACCCAUCCUUAGUUCGGAUUGUGGGCUGCAACUCGCCCACAUGAAGCUGGAAUCCGUAGUAAUCGUGUCUCAAAAUGGCACGGUGAAUAUGCCCCUGCUCCUUGCACACACCGCCCGUC
RNAcentral lists this ribosomal RNA (495 nucleotides) under uncultured euryarchaeote. Its description in RNAcentral is "bacterial SSU rRNA". It matches the Rfam family "Archaeal small subunit ribosomal RNA", at positions 860 to 1354 of the family's 1478-position model. The record is from RNAcentral. Lineage: Archaea; Methanobacteriati; Methanobacteriota.